GCGCUGUGUGUGUGUGUGUGUGUGUGUGUGUUGACAUUCUGGCCUGCCUGAAGAUGUGAUGAGGUCGUAAGAAGCCGUCUGAAGCCUAUAAUUGCACUCUGCUGUAAUGUCAUCGGUGUUUAUUAUAUCCCUGGACUAAAGACCGCCAUCUAAUGUAAUGGUGUAAUUGAAGCAGGUCUGAAGAUGCUGCUCUCUUUGGGGAUGCUGAUGCUCUCUGCCACACAGAUUUACACCAUUUUCACGGUUCAGAUAUUUGCCUUCCUCAACCUCCUGCCCGUGGAGGCCGACAUAUCCGCUUAUUCAUUCGACAAUAAGACGGAGAACUUUGAUGAUUUGCCAGCUCGAUUUGGCUACAGGCUGCCCAGUGAAGGACUGAAGGUGAGU
This is a long non-coding RNA of Sinocyclocheilus rhinocerous, 384 nucleotides long. RefSeq lists it as uncharacterized. NCBI's taxonomy places the organism in Eukaryota, Metazoa, Chordata, Actinopteri, Cypriniformes, Cyprinidae. The transcript is spliced from 3 exons. The record is from RefSeq and is a predicted model, not a curated record.